Molecule: non-coding RNA, 714 nt
Organism: Heterocephalus glaber (naked mole-rat)
Lineage: Eukaryota; Metazoa; Chordata; Mammalia; Rodentia; Bathyergidae
Source: RefSeq, a predicted model, not a curated record
CUAAGACCUCUGUUUGUUAUCAUAGAAAGGCUACCCAUAGUCCACCAGCAGCGGAGUGCAUGUAAGCUGGGGAGCAGACACCAGAAGAGGAAUGCGCGUUCUAUAUCCAUCCUGACCUCCUGGCUGAGGCUCACACUGAGCACAAGAAGCCACGAUUCGAGGAAUUCACUCUUACUCCACUUUCUGUACAACACGGGGCGGUCUCUUCAGACAGGAGCAGCACAGCCUGCUGCCAGCUGCACGCCAUACCCGGCCUCCGCCUGCUCCACUUGCUCCACUUACUUCGUCGCUGUCUCUUUCCUUGUGAAGUUCCUGCUGCCCAGGGCAGGAGGAGAAAUCCAUUCCACACUCCUCAUCUUUGUGAGAAUCGUCUCCCUUCCUCGCACCCUCUCCUGCCCAUCUACCCUCUCCACCAUCACUGUGGACAGCAGAGGACAGCUGCAAGUCCCGGACUCCCCACCCCCAGAGGAGCGCAGGGAAGCACUGACACCCAGGGUGAGCCUGCAUUCUCCUCACGGGCCCAGGCUCCAGAGCAGAUUCAGGUCCAGCCUCUGCUACAGAGCAGCUGGCUUGCAGAGCUGCCCUUGGACUCUUCGUUUCCUGUCCGAUGGCAGCAGUGGUACCUGCCUUGUUCAAGAGGACAGAAAACUUGAGGAUUAAAGAAAAUAUGAGUCAGAUCCCUGUCAGUGUGAGGCGUUUUUUUGAGCUUUUUGA